GGGCGUUUAGUUCAGUUGGUAUAGAGCGCCUGCCUUACAAGCAGGAGGUCGUAGGUUCGAGCCCUACAACGCCCA
Molecule: transfer RNA, 75 nt
Filed under: Chitinispirillales bacterium
Lineage: Bacteria; Pseudomonadati; Fibrobacterota; Chitinispirillia; Chitinispirillales
Description: tRNA-Val
Rfam family: tRNA
About the family: Transfer RNA (tRNA) molecules are approximately 80 nucleotides in length. Their secondary structure includes four short double-helical elements and three loops (D, anti-codon, and T loops). Further hydrogen bonds mediate the characteristic L-shaped molecular structure. tRNAs have two regions of fundamental functional importance: the anti-codon, which is responsible for specific mRNA codon recognition, and the 3' end, to which the tRNAs corresponding amino acid is attached (by aminoacyl-tRNA synthetases). tRNAs cope with the degeneracy of the genetic code in two manners: having more than one tRNA (with a specific anti-codon) for a particular amino acid; and 'wobble' base-pairing, i.e. permitting non-standard base-pairing at the 3rd anti-codon position.
Source: RNAcentral